AGUGAACGCUGGCGGCAGGCCUAACACAUGCAAGUCGAACGGCAACACAGUAAGAGCUUGCUCUUACGGGUGGCGAGUGGCGGACGGGUGACGAAUACAUCGGAAUCUACUUUUUCGUGGGGGAUAACGUAGGGAAACUUACGCUAAUACCGCAUACGAUCUACGGGUGAAAGCAGUGGAUCUUCGGACCUUUCGCGAUUGAAUGAGCCGAUGUCGGAUUAGCUAGUUGGCGGGGUAAAGGCCCACCAGGGGGACGAUCCGUAGCUGGUCUGAGAGGAUGGUCGGCCACACUGAACCUGAGCCACGGCCCAGACUCCUAGGGAAGGCAGAGGUGGGGAAUAUAGGCAAAUGGGGGCAACCUUGCUCCAGCCAUACAGGGUGGGUGAAGAAGGCCUUCGGGUGGUAAAGCCCUUUUGUUGGGAAAAAAAAGCAGCAGGUUAAUACCCCGCUGUUCGAAGGGAACCAAAAAAAUAGGCACGGGCAAACUCGGU
This 491-nucleotide ribosomal RNA is filed under the name uncultured bacterium. Its description in RNAcentral is "partial 16S ribosomal RNA". It matches the Rfam family "Bacterial small subunit ribosomal RNA", at positions 29 to 506 of the family's 1533-position model. The record is from RNAcentral.